RNAcentral lists this ribosomal RNA (432 nucleotides) under Yarrowia lipolytica. RNAcentral describes it as "eukaryotic LSU rRNA". It matches the Rfam family "Eukaryotic large subunit ribosomal RNA", at positions 76 to 526 of the family's 3401-position model. Lineage: Eukaryota; Fungi; Ascomycota; Dipodascomycetes; Dipodascales. The record is from RNAcentral.
UGCCUCAGUAACGGCGAGUGAAGCGGCAAAAGCUCAAAUUUGAAACCCUCGGGAUUGUAAUUUGAAGAUUUGGCAUUGGAGAAAGCUAACCCAAGUUGCUUGGAAUAGUACGUCAUAGAGGGUGACAACCCCGUCUGGCUAACCGUUCUCCAUGUAUUGCCUUAUCAAAGAGUCGAGUUGUUUGGGAAUGCAGCUCAAAGUGGGUGGUAAACUCCAUCUAAAGCUAAAUACUGGUGAGAGACCGAUAGCGAACAAGUACUGUGAAGGAAAGGUGAAAAGAACUUUGAAAAGAGAGUGAAAUAGUAUGUGAAAUUGUUGAUAGGGAAGGAAAUGAGUGGAGAGUGGCCGAGGUUUCAGCCGCCCCUCGUGGGCGGUGUACUGCCGACGCCGAGUCAUCGAUAGCGAGACGAGGGUUACAAAUGGGAGCGCCUU